CGGGACGUAGCGCAGCCUGGUAGCGCACUUGCUUGGGGUGCAAGGGGUCGCCAGUUCAAAUCUGGCCGUCCCGACCA
RNAcentral lists this transfer RNA (77 nucleotides) under bacterium. RNAcentral's name for it is "tRNA-Pro". It matches the Rfam family "tRNA". Rfam says of the family: Transfer RNA (tRNA) molecules are approximately 80 nucleotides in length. RNAcentral also lists the same sequence under 4 other names. The record is from RNAcentral.